This 482-nucleotide ribosomal RNA is filed under the name uncultured bacterium. RNAcentral's name for it is "partial 16S ribosomal RNA". It matches the Rfam family "Bacterial small subunit ribosomal RNA", at positions 28 to 507 of the family's 1533-position model. The record is from RNAcentral.
GACGAACGCUGGCGGCGUGCUUAACACAUGCAAGUCGAACGCUGAAGCUCAGCUUUUGUUGGGUGGAUGAGUGGCGAACGGGUGAGUAACACGUGAGUAACCUGCCCCUUCUUUGGGAUAACGCCCGGAAACGGGUGCUAAUACUGGAUAUUCACUGGUCUUCGCAUGGGGGUUGGUGGAAAGGGUUUUUCUGGUGGGGGAUGGGCUCGCGGCCUAUCAGCUUGUUGGUGGGGUGAUGGCCUACCAAGGCUUUGACGGGUAGCCGGCCUGAGAGGGUGACCGGUCACAUUGGGACUGAGAUACGGCCCAGACUACUACGGGAGGCAGCAGUGGGGAAUAUUGCACAAUGGGCGCAAGCCUGAUGCAGCGACGCCGCGUGAGGGAUGGAGGCCUUCGGGUUGUGAACCUCUUUCGCUCAUGGUCAAGCCGCAACAAUGGUUGUGGUGAGGGUAGUGGGUAAAGAAGCGCCGGCUAACUACGUG